GACCAUCAACAAGAUUGAUGUGAUGGUUUUCGUUCCAUAUGACCAUCAAUCUGUGGAAAUGGCUUUUUGUUGUCCUGCUCAGAUUGGAGCGAAGAUUUGGCCAAUAGAAUUAUGCAUAUAGCUAUAUAAGCACUAACUUGCAUCACUUGAAUAUUUGUGAUCGAUAUGAACUUUACUAUAAUAUGAAGUUGCUGAAUAUCUUGUAUCAGUGUUAUUAUUAAUAUUCUAUUAUAUGUUAUUUGGUUGAGUUUAACCCUUUCUGUUUGUAUUUUUGUGUUUGCAGCGCCUAACGCUUUAGAUGAACAACAUACAUGAAGGAACAUUGCUUGAUGGAUGCAAGAUGGAGCGCAAAGAUGUUUGAAGUAUAUGCUAUUAUGUUUUGUUUAAUAUUUUUAAUAAACAAGUUAUGUUUCUAAUUUUCUAUAAAUUUAUGUAUGUUGAACAAUUUCAAUGUUUACGAAUAAAAUUUUAUC
RNAcentral lists this long non-coding RNA (473 nucleotides) under Lupinus mutabilis. RNAcentral describes it as "partial ncRNA". Lineage: Eukaryota; Viridiplantae; Streptophyta; Magnoliopsida; Fabales; Fabaceae. The record is from RNAcentral.